Molecule: transfer RNA, 71 nt
Filed under: Sphaerodactylus townsendi
Lineage: Eukaryota; Metazoa; Chordata; Lepidosauria; Squamata; Sphaerodactylidae
Description: tRNA-Ala
Rfam family: tRNA
About the family: Transfer RNA (tRNA) molecules are approximately 80 nucleotides in length. Their secondary structure includes four short double-helical elements and three loops (D, anti-codon, and T loops). Further hydrogen bonds mediate the characteristic L-shaped molecular structure. tRNAs have two regions of fundamental functional importance: the anti-codon, which is responsible for specific mRNA codon recognition, and the 3' end, to which the tRNAs corresponding amino acid is attached (by aminoacyl-tRNA synthetases). tRNAs cope with the degeneracy of the genetic code in two manners: having more than one tRNA (with a specific anti-codon) for a particular amino acid; and 'wobble' base-pairing, i.e. permitting non-standard base-pairing at the 3rd anti-codon position.
Source: RNAcentral
GAGCUGUGGCUCAGUGGUAGAGCAUCUGAAUCGCACGCAGGAGGUCCCGGGUUCAAGCCCCAUCAGCAUCU